This 432-nucleotide ribosomal RNA is filed under the name Scolopendra dehaani. RNAcentral's name for it is "partial 16S ribosomal RNA". Lineage: Eukaryota; Metazoa; Arthropoda; Chilopoda; Scolopendromorpha; Scolopendridae. The record is from RNAcentral.
GGUCUUAUGAUUUGGCCUGCUCUAUGUAUAAUAAAUGGCCGCGGUAUAUUGACCGUGGGAAGGUAGCAUAAAAAUUAGGCUAUUAAUUGUGGUCUUGAAUGAAAGGUUGGACGAGGAAAAUACUUUUUUAUUUGCAUUGUUGAAUUUAAAUAAUUAGUAAAAAUGCUAAUAUGAUAUAAAAAGACGAGAAGACCCUGUUGAGUUUUAUAUUUAUUUUAUUUUUUAUAUUUAAUUGGGGCGAUGGUUAUUAAACAAUUUUUAUAUUUGAUCCCUUUUUAGGGAUUAAAAAAAAAAAUUACCCCAGGGAUAACACCAUAUUUUGAUUGGAGAGUUCUUUUUGAUAUUCAAGUUUGUGACCCCAAUGUUGAAUAAAAAUUCCUUUUAGGGGCAGGGGCUUAAAAAGGUAAACUGUUCUCCUAUUAAAUUCUUACA